ACUAUGAUCGCCUAGAUCCUCUACUCGUUUCACGUUCGGACGGCCGAACUAAUGGCGA
This 58-nucleotide non-coding RNA is filed under the name unclassified sequences. RNAcentral describes it as "MDR-NUDIX RNA". It matches the Rfam family "MDR-NUDIX RNA". The record is from RNAcentral.